UAAAUUACUCUUUUUGUCCUGAAACUUUUCGAUUCUCAAAUUUUAAUUUAUAAUCGUUUUUAGCUCGGACUUUUUAAAUUGUUGCAAUUUAUGUCUGACAGCCUAAUUUGAUUGACUAAAUAUUAAUAUAUUUAUAAUGUGGAAGUGAUAUAACAUUUUAAUCAUUACUGUGUCAUUAAUACAUCACUUCUAUAUUAAUGACACGCCAAUAUUUAAUCAACUCAACUAGGUUGCAAAAAUUUAAUUGCAAUAAUUCAAAAAGUUCAAGCUAGAAAUUACUAUAAAUUAAAAU
This 292-nucleotide long non-coding RNA is filed under the name Ananas comosus (pineapple). RNAcentral describes it as "long non-coding RNA (ACOM_LNC026233)". The record is from RNAcentral. Lineage: Eukaryota; Viridiplantae; Streptophyta; Magnoliopsida; Poales; Bromeliaceae.